GACGAACGUUGGCGGCGUGCCUAAUACAUGCAAGUAGAACGCACAGUUUAUACCGUAGCUUGCUACACCAUAGACUGUGAGUUGCGAACGGGUGAGUAACGCGUAGGUAACCUGCCUGGUAGCGGGGGAUAACUAUUGGAAACGAUAGCUAAUACCGCAUAAUAUUGAUUAUUGCAUGAUAAUUGAUUGAAAGAUGCUAUUGCAUCACUACCAGAUGGACCUGCGUUGUAUUAGCUAGUAGGUGAGGUAACGGCUCACCUAGGCGACGAUACAUAGCCGACCUGAGAGGGUGAUCGGCCACACUGGGACUGAGACACGGCCCAGACUCCUACGGGAGGCAGCAGUAGGGAAUCUUCGGCAAUGGACGAAAGUCUGACCGAGCAACGCCGCGUGAGUGAAGAAGGUUUUCGGAUCGUAAAGCUCUGUUGUAAGAGAAGAACGGGUGUGAGAGUGGAAAGUUCACACUGUGACGGUAUCUUACCAGAAAGGGACGGCUAACUACGUG
RNAcentral lists this ribosomal RNA (505 nucleotides) under uncultured bacterium. Its description in RNAcentral is "partial 16S ribosomal RNA". It matches the Rfam family "Bacterial small subunit ribosomal RNA", at positions 28 to 507 of the family's 1533-position model. The record is from RNAcentral.